UAUUGGACAAUGGGCGCAAGCCUGAUCCAGCCAUGCCGCGUGGAUGAUGAAGGCCUCCCCCGUUGUAAAGUCCUUUUAACGGGGAAGAUAAUGACGGUACCCGUAGAAUAAGCCCCGGCUAACUUCAUGCCAGCAGCCGCGGUAAUACGAAGGGGGCUAGCGUUGCUCGGAAUUACUGGGCGUAAAGCGCACGUAGGCGGGUUCUUAAGUCGGUGGUGAAAUCCUGGAGCUCAACUCCAGAACUGCCUUCGAUACUGGGAAUCUUGAGUCCGGGAGAGGUGAGUGGAACUGCGAGUGUAGAGGUGAAAUUCAUAGAUAUUCGCAAGAACACCAGUGGCGAAGGCGGCUCACUGGCCCGGUACUGACGCUCAUGCACGAAA
Molecule: ribosomal RNA, 380 nt
Filed under: uncultured bacterium
Lineage: Bacteria
Description: bacterial SSU rRNA
Rfam family: Bacterial small subunit ribosomal RNA
Source: RNAcentral